Non-coding RNA from Chelonia mydas (Green sea turtle), 87 nucleotides. The record is from Rfam. NCBI's taxonomy places the organism in Eukaryota, Metazoa, Chordata, Testudines, Cheloniidae.
GUCAGCAGUACAUUAGCAGCACGUAAAUAUUGGCGUUAACUCUGUAAAUAUCUCCAGUAUUAACUGUGCUGCUGAAGUAAAGUUGGC